CAGUAGCCACGGGAAUACGGAGGGCGCGAGCGUUACCCGGAUUUACUGGGCGUAAAGGGCGUGUAGGCGGCCUGGGGCGUCCCAUGUGAAAGGCCACGGCUCAACCGUGGAGGAGCGUGGGAUACGCUCAGGCUAGAGGGUGGGAGAGGGUGGUGGAAUUCCCGGAGUAGCGGUGAAAUGCGCAGAUACCGGGAGGAACGCCGAUGGCGAAGGCAGCCACCUGGUCCACUUCUGACGCUUAGGCGCGAAAGCGUGGGAAGCAAACCGGAUUAGAUACCCGCGUAGUCCCUGUCUCUUAUAC
This 301-nucleotide ribosomal RNA is filed under the name uncultured bacterium. RNAcentral describes it as "partial 16S ribosomal RNA". It matches the Rfam family "Bacterial small subunit ribosomal RNA", at positions 509 to 807 of the family's 1533-position model. The record is from RNAcentral.